UAUUUAAUCACAAAAUAUAAAUAGAAAAAACUUAAAUAUAAAAUAAUUAGGAAAUUGUGUAAAAACAUAAGAUGAAAUACUGUGUGUGGUAUAUAAGAAUACUUAACACUCUAAAAAACGGUACAUGAUAUAUUAAGUAGGAAUAGUGGAUUACAAAGCAGGAAGUACAAUAUGGUCCAAAUAUUCUUUAAAACAUUCUUAUUUUUAUAUAAGCACAGAAGAAAAUCAAUAUAGCCCUCCACACCUGAAGGAGUGGUAAGUGAAUGGUGGGACUAUAAGUGGUUUUUAUUUUCUUCAUGCUUUACUGAUUCUCAAAUAUUCUACUGUCAGCAUGUAUUUUUUUGGAAUUAGAAAAACACCCCUCCAGUAAUAAUGUGUAGUUCUUAACAUUGUUCAUCAGAUGUUUCUGACUCCCCCACUUCUGUCUAAUUACAUCACAGGUUGGCACUUCCUGGCCCCUUGUGGUUGUGUAGAGUCACAUGACCAGUUCUGGCCAAUGAAGUGGAAGUGCCACCUAUCACUUCCUGAUUGGAUCAUUUGGUGAUCAGUGUUAGGCUCUAGAACUUUUCCCCUCCAGGACAGCAACCAAGUUGUAUUGAAGUUGAUUUCUUCUGCCAACUGUACACCCCUCAGUGGUCACCAGAGCUAGAGCCCCUGUACAGACUUGUGCUAGACUCAGAGCACAAAUGAGAAAUAAAAUCAUGUUGAUUUAAACCUUGUAUAUCUGGGGAUUUUUUGUUGUUGCUGCUGCUACGGCAGCAUAACCUAGUCCAUCCUGACCAAUACAAAUAUGGCUAGAAAAAGUUCCUGGAAGUAUAUUCACCAAAACUGAACAUUCAUUUUCUUUAAGUAGUAAGACCAAUUGAUUCUCUUCUUCUUUCUACUUUUCCCAGUUGUCUAUAAUGAGUAUGGCUUUCUUUUUAGUUGAAAAAUAAUCAAAUAAACUCUAUAAAUAAAACAAGACAUCACGGCAAGUCAAUCUGAUAUGUUUGUUCUUUUCUUAGAAGAUUCAGUGGAUUUCCAUUGAUUCCAUCGUAUUCUUCCACUUCUUCCCUUAGGUUGGGUGGGCUGGCCUGAACCGAGGUGGGGGUGGAGUACUUAUGGAGCCAGAUGUUUCAUCCCUGAUGGCAGUAGAUUACGCAGAGCAUAGGGUGGAGUUCAGAAAAACUGAAAACCGCAGAUGGAAUCUCGCUCUGUCUCCCAGGCUGGAGUGCAGUGGCAUGAUCUCCGCUCACUGCAACCUCCGCCUCCCAAGUUCAAGCGAUUCUCCUGCCUCAGCCUCCCGAGUAGCUGGGACUACAGGCACGUGCCACCAUGCUUGACUAAUUUUUGUAUUUUUAGUAGAGACAGGGUCUCACCAUGUUGGCCAGGCUGGUCUUGAGCUCCUGACCUCUAGUGAUCCACCCGCCUCAGCCUCCCAAAGUGCUGGGAUUACAGGCAUGAGCCACCAUGCCAGGCCAAAGCUGCUGAUCUUAAUAAAAAUGAUUCAUUCAGUCUUUUGCAUGUAAGAGAAAAGAAUUACCUACAUCAGUCACUGAGUUAUUUUCCAUAUCUGCACAGUAUUAAAUACUUUUCUUA
Molecule: long non-coding RNA, 1578 nt
Filed under: Homo sapiens (human)
Lineage: Eukaryota; Metazoa; Chordata; Mammalia; Primates; Hominidae
Description: HSALNT0378986
Source: RNAcentral